GUGGAUAGCGCAGCUACCAUGCAGUCGAGCGGAACGAGUUAUCUGACCCUUCGGGUGACGAUAACGGCGUCGAGCGGCGGACGGGUGAGUAAUGGCUGGGAAAUUGCCCUGAUGUGGGGGAUAACCAUUGGAAACGAUGGCUAAUACCGCAUGAUAUCUUCGGCUCAAAGAGGGGGACCUUCGGGCCUCUCGCGUCCGGAUAUGCCCAGGUGGGAUUAGCUAGUUGGUGAGGUAAGGGCUCACCAAGGCGACGAUCCCUAGCUGGUCUGAGAGGAUGAUCAGCCACACUGGAACUGAGACACGGUCCAGACUCCUACGGGAGGCAGCAGUGGGGAAUAUUGCACAAUGGGCGCAAGCCUGAUGCAGCCAUGCCGCGUGUGUGAAGAAGGCCUUCGGGUUGUAAAGUACUUUCAGCCGUGAGGAAGGUGGGUAUGUUAAUACCAUACUCGUUUGACGUUAGCUGCAGAAGAAGCACCGGCUAACUCCGUGCCAGCAGCCGCGGUAAUACGGAGGGUGCGAGCGUUAAUCGGAAUUACUGGGCGUAAAGCGCAUGCAGGUGGAUGAUUAAGUCAGAUGUGAAAGCCCGGGGCUCAACCUCGGAACAGCAUUUGAAACUGGUCAUCUAGAGUCCUGUAGAGGGGGGUAGAAUUUCAGGUGUAGCGGUGAAAUGCGUAGAGAUCUGAAGGAAUACCGGUGGCGAAGCGGCCCCCUGGACAGAGACUGACACUCAGAUGCGAAAGCGUGGGGAGCAAACAGGAUUAGAUACCCUGGUAGUCCACGCCGUAACGAUGUCUACUUGGAGGUUGUAGCCUUGAGCUGUGGCUUCGGAGCUAACGCGUUAAGUAGACCGCCUGGGGAGUACGGUCCCAAGAUUAAACUCAAUGAAUUGACGGGGGCCCGCACAGCGUGGAGCAUGGGUUUAUUUCGUUGCACGCGAAAACCCUACCUACUCUUGACAUC
Molecule: ribosomal RNA, 960 nt
Filed under: Vibrio sp. R214113
Lineage: Bacteria; Pseudomonadati; Pseudomonadota; Gammaproteobacteria; Vibrionales; Vibrionaceae
Description: bacterial SSU rRNA
Rfam family: Bacterial small subunit ribosomal RNA
Source: RNAcentral